Molecule: ribosomal RNA, 437 nt
Filed under: uncultured bacterium
Lineage: Bacteria
Description: partial 16S ribosomal RNA
Rfam family: Bacterial small subunit ribosomal RNA
Source: RNAcentral
GAUGAACGCUGUCGGCAUGCUUAACACAUGUAAGUCGGACGGGCAGUGGUGUUUCCAGUGGCUGACGGGCGAGUAACGCGUAAGAACCUGCCCUUGGGCGGGGACCAACACCUGGAAACGGCUGCUACUACCCCGUAGCCGGAGGAGCACAAGGAGCAAUCCGCGCGAGGAGGGGCUGGCGUUUGAUUCUCUAGUUGGUGAGUCAAUACCUUACCAAGGCGCUGAUCAGGAGCUGGUCCGAGAGGCUGAUCAGCCAGACUGGGACUGAGACACGGCGCCGGCUACUGCGGCAGGAGGCAGUGGGGAAUUUACUGGAAUGGGCGAAAGCCUGACAGGGCACUGCCGCGUGGAGGUAGACGGACCACGGGUCGUGAACUGCUUCUUCCGGAGACGAAGCAAUGACGGUAUCUGGGGAAUAAGCUGCCGCUGACUCGGUG